AUGCCUCUCUCUUGCUUCCACGUGUCUUCGAAUGCUCCAGCGCAUAUAUUUCAAAUUUCGAACAUCCCGCUUGCAUUUGAAUUUCAAAUGUUUUGGUACUUCUUCGCUUCGAACGCACUUCUUAGACACAGCCUUGUUGUCAUUUCGAGACUUCUUUGGAUAUAUUCUCAUAACUGUCACUCGAAGCUCCAAGCUCUGAUAUGCUUAUUCGAAGCAUUGCUUCUACUAUUUCGAAACAUGACGUUUUGUUUCAUUUCGAUCGAAACGUUCCAUUUACUUUGCUUCUAA
This 288-nucleotide long non-coding RNA is filed under the name Vicia faba (fava bean). The record is from RNAcentral. Lineage: Eukaryota; Viridiplantae; Streptophyta; Magnoliopsida; Fabales; Fabaceae.